GUUGGGUAGGGGAGCGUUCUGUAAGCCUGUGAAGGUGGCCUGUGAGGGUUGCUGGAGGUAUCAGAAGUGCGAAUGCUGACAUAAGUAACGAUAAAGCGGGUGAAAAGCCCGCUCGCCGGAAGACCAAGGGUUCCUGUCCAACGUUAAUCGGGGCAGGGUGAGUCGACCCCUAAGGCGAGGCCGAAAGGCGUAGUCGAUGGGAAACGGGUUAAUAUUCCCGUACUUGGUGUUACUGCGAAGGGGGGACGGAGAAGGCUAUGUUGGCCGGGCGACGGUUGUCCCGGUUUAAGCGUGUAGGUGUGUGUUCCAGGUAAAUCCGGUUCACUUUAACACUGAGGCGUGAUGACGAGGCACUACGGUGCUGAAGCAACAAAUGCCCUGCUUCCAGGAAAAGCCUCUAAGCAUCAGGUAACAUCAAAUCGUACCCCAAACCGACACAGGUGGUCAGGUAGAGAAUACCAAGGCGCUUGAGAGAACUCGGGUGAAGGAACUAGGCAAAAUGGUGCCGUAACUUCGGGAGAAGGCACGCUGACACGUAGGUGAAGUGAUUUACUCAUGGAGCUGAAGUCAGUCGAAGAUACCAGCUGGCUGCAACUGUUUAUUAAAAACACAGCACUGUGCAAACACGAAAGUGGACGUAUACGGUGUGACGCCUGCCCGGUGCCGGAAGGUUAAUUGAUGGGGUCAGCGCAAGCGAAGCUCCUGAUCGAAGCCCCGGUAAACGGCGGCCGUAACUAUAACGGUCCUAAGGUAGCGAAAUUCCUUGUCGGGUAAGUUCCGACCUGCACGAAUGGCGUAAUGAUGGCCAGGCUGUCUCCACCCGAGACUCAGUGAAAUUGAACUCGCUGUGAAGAUGCAGUGUACCCGCGGCAAGACGGAAAGACCCCGUGAACCUUUACUAUAGCUUGACACUGAACAUUGAGCCUUGAUGUGUAGGAUAGGUGGGAGGCUUUGAAGCGUGGACGCCAGUCUGCGUGGAGCCGACCUUGAAAUACCACCCUUUAAUGUUUGAUGUUCUAACGUGGACCCGUAAUCCGGGUUGCGGACAGUGUCUGGUGGGUAGUUUGACUGGGGCGGUCUCCUCCUAAAGAGUAACGGAGGAGCACGAAGGUUGGCUAAUCCUGGUCGGACAUCAGGAGGUUAGUGCAAUGGCAUAAGCCAGCUUGACUGCGAGCGUGACGGCGCGAGCAGGUGCGAAAGCAGGUCAUAGUGAUCCGGUGGUUCUGAAUGGAAGGGCCAUCGCUCAACGGAUAAAAGGUACUCCGGGGAUAACAGGCUGAUACCGCCCAAGAGUUCAUAUCGACGGCGGUGUUUGGCACCUCGAUGUCGGCUCAUCACAUCCUGGGGCUGAAGUAGGUCCCAAGGGUAUGGCUGUUCGCCAUUUAAAGUGGUACGCGAGCUGGGUUUAGAACGUCGUGAGACAGUUCGGUCCCUAUCUGCCGUGGGCGCUGGAGAACUGAGGGGGGCUGCUCCUAGUACGAGAGGACCGGAGUGGACGCAUCACUGGUGUUCGGGUUGUCAUGCCAAUGGCACUGCCCGGUAGCUAAAUGCGGAAGAGAUAAGUGCUGAAAGCAUCUAAGUACGAAACUUGCCCCGAGAUGAGUUCUCCCUGAGACUUUAGGUCUCCUGAAGGAACGUUGAAGACGACGACGUUGAUAGGCCGGGUGUGUAAGCGCAGCGAUGCGUUGAGCUAACCGGUACUAAUGAACCGUGAGGCUUAACCUUACAACGCCGAAG
RNAcentral lists this ribosomal RNA (1737 nucleotides) under Salmonella enterica. RNAcentral describes it as "partial 23S ribosomal RNA". It matches the Rfam family "Bacterial large subunit ribosomal RNA", at positions 1223 to 2925 of the family's 2925-position model. The record is from RNAcentral. Lineage: Bacteria; Pseudomonadati; Pseudomonadota; Gammaproteobacteria; Enterobacterales; Enterobacteriaceae.